Long non-coding RNA from Acinonyx jubatus (cheetah), 959 nucleotides. RefSeq lists it as uncharacterized. The record is from RefSeq and is a predicted model, not a curated record. Lineage: Eukaryota; Metazoa; Chordata; Mammalia; Carnivora; Felidae. The transcript has 3 exons.
GAGUUAAUGCCCAGCAUAGGCCUGGCCCACGAUACUUGCCAACAUUUGAAUGCUCAGGGUCCAACGCUGCGCAGAAUGUACCACAGGAAUUGCCUCAUUUGACCAUUGGCUCCACUUUACACUGAGACCCAGGGGUUCGGUGGCUUGCCCAGGAGUGGAUAUGAAUAUUGGCAGCCUGCUCCAGAGCUUACUUUCUUCGCCACUGUGCUAUCCUCUCAUUACCUCUGAAGUUUAAGUGCCUUCUGCCAACAAUUCCUAAGGUGCUGGUGCCAGGAGAGGACUGGGGCUGAGGCUGCAGAGGAAGGCGGGAUGGCGAGGGGACAUGUUCGUCAUAAAGCAACAGAGAGGCCUGCGUGUCCGGGAAGUGGCUGGGCUGGGCAGAAUGCCAACCCCCAAACGACAGAUUGCGUAAUUUCUAAACCAAACAGAGAGGUAGGAAAGGGGGAUGGGGUGGGAGGAGUUGGGGAAAGAGGAAAAGUGGGGGAGAGAGGGCUGAGGAGAGUGGUAGCCAUACAGGUGUUUUGUUUUUUAUUUCCACAUCUGAGGGCUGAGAGUCUGAUUUGCUGCCUGUCCAUUUCCGCCGCUCAUCGACUGUCCAUAGCUCAGCAUGCCAUGGGCUCCACAGAAGUUCAUCCCAGCCAUCUGCUGGGUCAUCUGAAAGGGAGAGAGGAGACUUUCAGACCAGGCUGUGGGCAUGCAGCCAAUUACUGCAAAAAGACAGGUCUUUCCUCCUAAAAAGAAGGGGCCUAUUGUUAACUUGCUGGCCCCGAGAGUUACAGACGAGCCCCGGACCAGCGCUCCUGUUCUAUCUCCAGCAGAGUUAUUACUGUCAGUGUCAGUGAAGUGCUUGUGCACACUCAAGCACAGAGAAAAAGAAAGAGAAACUGGACUGUUCAGAAUGAACAAAGGAAGGCAAAAAAAAAAAAAGAAAGAAAGAAAGAAAGAAAGAAAGAAAGAAA